This 503-nucleotide ribosomal RNA is filed under the name uncultured bacterium. Its description in RNAcentral is "bacterial SSU rRNA". It matches the Rfam family "Bacterial small subunit ribosomal RNA", at positions 29 to 523 of the family's 1533-position model. The record is from RNAcentral.
AGUGAACGCUGGCGGCAGGCCUAAUACAUGCAAGUCGAACGGCAGCACAGUGGAGCUUGCUCCAUGGGUGGCGAGUGGCGGACGGGUGAGGAAUACAUGGGAAUCUGCCCAGUCGUGGGGAUAACGUAUGGAAACGUACGCUAAUACCGCAUGCGCCCUUCGGGGGAAAGUCGGGGACCGCAAGGCCUGACGCGAUUGGAUGAGCCCAUGUUCGAUUAGCUAGUUGGCGGGUAACGGCCCACCAAGGCGACGAUCGAUAGCUGGUCUGAGAGGAUGAUCAGCCACACUGGAACUGAGACACGGUCCAGACUCCUACGGGAGGCAGCAGUAGGGAAUAUUGGACAAUGGGGGCAACCCUGAUCCAGCCAUGCCGCGUGAGUGAAGAAGGCCCUCGGGUUGUAAAGCUCUUUGUUGGGGAAGAAAAGCAGUUGGUUAAUACCCGAUUGUUCUGACGGUACCCAAAGAAUAAGCACCGGCUAACUUCGUGCCAGCAGCCGCGGUAA